GAUGAACGCUGGCGGCGUGCCUAAUACAUGCAAGUCGAGCGAACAGACGAGGAGCUUGCUCCUCUGACGUUAGCGGCGGACGGGUGAGUAACACGUGGAUAACCUACCUAUAAGACUGGGAUAACUUCGGGAAACCGGAGCUAAUACCGGAUAAUAUAUUGAACCGCAUGGUUCAAUAGUGAAAGACGGUUUUGCUGUCACUUAUAGAUGGAUCCGCGCCGCAUUAGCUAGUUGGUAAGGUAACGGCUUACCAAGGCAACGAUGCGUAGCCGACCUGAGAGGGUGAUCGGCCACACUGGAACUGAGACACGGUCCAGACUCCUACGGGAGGCAGCAGUAGGGAAUCUUCCGCAAUGGGCGAAAGCCUGACGGAGCAACGCCGCGUGAGUGAUGAAGGUCUUCGGAUCGUAAAACUCUGUUAUUAGGGAAGAACAAAUGUGUAAGUAACUGUGCACGUCUUGACUGUACCUAAUCAGAAAGCCACGGCUAACUACGUG
This 497-nucleotide ribosomal RNA is filed under the name uncultured bacterium. Its description in RNAcentral is "partial 16S ribosomal RNA". It matches the Rfam family "Bacterial small subunit ribosomal RNA", at positions 28 to 507 of the family's 1533-position model. The record is from RNAcentral.